UACGGAGGAUUCAAGCGUUAUCCGGAUUUAUUGGGUUUAAAGGGUGCGUAGGCGGUCGGAUAAGUUAGAGGUGAAAUCCCGAGGCUCAACUUCGGAAUUGCCUCUGAUACUGUUCGGCUAGAGAGUAGUUGCGGUAGGCGGGAUGUAUGGUGUAGCGGUGAAAUGCUUAGAGAUCAUACAGAACUCCGAUUGCGAAGGCAGCGUACCGGCGCCCAACUGACGCUGAAGCACGAAGGCGUGGGUAUCGAACAGG
RNAcentral lists this ribosomal RNA (253 nucleotides) under uncultured bacterium. RNAcentral describes it as "partial 16S ribosomal RNA". It matches the Rfam family "Bacterial small subunit ribosomal RNA", at positions 524 to 776 of the family's 1533-position model. The record is from RNAcentral.